This 1958-nucleotide long non-coding RNA is filed under the name Homo sapiens (human). RNAcentral describes it as "HSALNT0385367". Lineage: Eukaryota; Metazoa; Chordata; Mammalia; Primates; Hominidae. The record is from RNAcentral.
AGUCUUGGAGCUCCUGGUUUUCCGUGCGGACCUGUGGCUGCAGCCUAUGGGUGAGGAGAGGAGACAGACUUACCUCAUGCGAUGACUCAACUCAACCUUUUUUUAAUUUAUUUAUUUAUUUAUUUAUUUAUUUAUUUUGAGACGGAAUCAUGCUCUGUCGCCCAGGCUGGAGUGCAGAGGCGCGAUCUCGGCUCACUGCAACCUCCGCCUCCGGGUUCAAGCGAUUCCUCUGCCUCAGCCUCCCGGGUAGCUGGGACUGCAGGCGCGCGCCACCACGCCCAUCUAAUUUUUGUAUUUUUAGUAGAGACGGGGUUUCACCAUGUUGUCCAGGAUAGUCUUGAUCUCUUGACCUCGUGAUCUGCCAGCCUCAACCUCCCAAAGUGCUGGGAUUAUAGGCGUGAGCCACCGUGCCCGGCCAGCUGAACCUUUUUAAAGGCCCUGGUACCUGCGGAAGCCAAGAUGUGCCAAUUUUCAGCGGGCGCUGCCCCCACUUUAACAGGGCAGAGCCAGAGCGGCCGCCCUGGUGGCCUGGAGCCGCACACUCGCGCUGGCCUAAUGUCGCUCCCCGCCCCCCCCCCUUUUUUUUUUUUGAGAUGGAGUCUCGCUCUGUCGCCCAGGCUGGAGUGCAGUGACGCGAUCUCGGCUCACUGCAGCCUCCGCCUCCCGGGUUCAAGCGAUUCUCCUGCCUCAGCCUCCUGAAUAGCUGGGAUUACAAUCGCGCGCCACCACGCCCGGCUAUUUUUUGUAUUUUUAGUAGAGAGAGGGCUUCACCCUGUUGGCCAGGCUGGUCUCGAACUCCUGACCUCAGGUGAUCCGCCCGCCUCGGCCUCCCAAAGUGCUAGGGUUACAGGCGUGAGCCACCGUGCCCAGCCAGUGCCCCAUUUUUGAAGGUUGAAGAGACUACUUCCCCUAUUUGGGAUACAGUUGGUGCGGGGAAAGCAGAACGGGUGUGUCCAGGGACAGGCCAUAAUUCACCCUCACAGGAUAAAGUCUAAAGAAAGGACGAGUUGGGCGGGGCGUGGUGGCUCACGCCUGUAAUCUCAGCACUUUGAGAGGCCGAGGCGGGCGGAGAUCGAGACCAUCCUGGCUAACACCGUGAAACUCCGUCUCUACUAAAAAUACAAAAUUUAGCCGGGCGUGGUGGCACGCACCUGUAGUCCCAGCUACUCGGGAGGCUGAGGCAGGAGAAUCGCUUGAACCCGGGAGGCGGAGGUUGCAGUGAGCCGAGAUCCCGCCAUUGCACUCCAGCCUGGGGACCAAGAGCCAGACUCCAUCUCAAAAAAAAUAAAAAGGCCGGGUGCGGUGGUUCACGCCUGUAAUCCCAGCACUUUGGGAGGCCUAGGCGGGUGGAUCACGAGGUCAGAAGAUCGAGACUAUUCUGGCUAACACGAUGAAACUCCGUCUCUACUAAAAAAAAAUACAAAACAAUUAGCCGGGCGUGGUGGCGGGCCCCUGUAGUCCCAGCUACUCGGGAGGCUGAGGCAGGAGAAUGGUGUGAACCCGGGAGGUGGAGCUUGCAGUGAGCUGAGAUCACGCCACUGCACUGAGGGUUCUGUGAGAGUCAGUAAAGGUUAAAGCCAUUUAUAUGUGUAUGGUCCAACCAUACACAAUCGGCCCUCCAUAUCCGCAUGUCCCACCUUUGGAGAUUGAACGAAGAGCGGGUUGAAAAUACAGUGUUGAGGUAUGGUGGCUCACACCUGUAAUCUCGCACUUCAGGAAUCCAAGCAGGAGGAUCGCUUCAGGCCAGGAGUUCAAGACCAGCCUGGGCAGCAUAGAGACCUCCUUUCUACUAAAAAUUUGGGGGAAAAAAAAAAUUAGCUGGGCCUCGGGGCCCGCACCUGUAGUCCCACCUACUCAGGAGGCUGAGGCAGAGGGAUCGCUUAAACCCAGGAGGUCGAGGCUGAGUGAGCUAUAAUCCCUCCACUGCACUCCAGCUUGGGUGACAGAGACCCUGUCUC